This 343-nucleotide long non-coding RNA is filed under the name Lathyrus oleraceus (garden pea). Its description in RNAcentral is "Pisum sativum (pea) long non-coding RNA (PSAT_LNC038494)". The record is from RNAcentral. Lineage: Eukaryota; Viridiplantae; Streptophyta; Magnoliopsida; Fabales; Fabaceae.
AAAAUUGGAGGGUAACAUUAUCUGCCUUCAGUUUACAGUUGACUUUUGAAGGCUCCAGUAUAACUUUCUCAGUCUCCUCCAUCAAUGUGGAAUGUAAAAUUUUCUUCUCUUCAUCAAUUACAUUCUCAAGCUUUGAAACUACAAAGUUCUUCAUCACACUGGUUGUGAGGUAUGCGGCUCUCUUGAUGGAUGUAAUUUCUUCAUUACUUUUUGCAGAAAACCCAUUUGCCACAUCACUCAGAUUAAAUUUUGAACUUUUUAAUUUUUCAGCCCAUGCUUCAAGCAAUUUCCCUUCAAGUUCCUCCCUAGCUAUGUGUCCAACAGUGGAUGAAUCAUGGCCAUC